This is a long non-coding RNA of Acyrthosiphon pisum (pea aphid), 521 nucleotides long. RefSeq lists it as uncharacterized. The transcript has 2 exons. NCBI's taxonomy places the organism in Eukaryota, Metazoa, Arthropoda, Insecta, Hemiptera, Aphididae. The record is from RefSeq and is a predicted model, not a curated record.
GACGUACGAUAACACUGAGCGCUCUAUCGGCCAACAGGGAACAACCAACGGCGAACUCUUGUUACAAUCACGCCACCAUGCCGCUCCACGUUAAGCGAAAAUCGCCAAAGUGUAUAAAAUAACGUGCCGGUGCUUCGUUCGGGCAAAACGCAAUUUUUUUGUAAAUCCAAACUUCAGUGAGUUGACGCGAUUUAAAUUAUUUAUUUUUUAUAUUUUUCUUCGUCUACUUGCAGUUUUCACGUCUUCGCCUCUCGAAAAACCCAACAAAAACCAAAAAUGGGCGCUGAAAAAGUAACCAUGAGCAUCGUCGUCGUCGGACAAGUCCAAUCUGCCAAGGCCGCCAAAUCGGUUGCCAAAGCCACCCCAGCCACCAGCCAAUUGUUGAAUUGUUAAUACAUGAUGUCCACAUCAAUCUCAAAUUCAAAAAUGCCAUAGCCCAAAUAUUACAUAAUAUUAUAAUUUGUUCCUAAUUAUAAAAAUGUGUAUUGACAUUGCAAAAUAAAUCAGUCUCUUCCGUCAAU